GGCUGAGUAGCCCAAAUCGGAAGAGGCGCUCGGCACUGGAGCGAGUGGUUCUCGAUUCCAGAUCGAGAGGUUGGGGGUUCGAAUCCCCCCUCAGCCA
RNAcentral lists this transfer RNA (97 nucleotides) under Phycisphaerae bacterium. Its description in RNAcentral is "tRNA-Gln". It matches the Rfam family "tRNA". Rfam says of the family: Transfer RNA (tRNA) molecules are approximately 80 nucleotides in length. Their secondary structure includes four short double-helical elements and three loops (D, anti-codon, and T loops). RNAcentral also lists the same sequence under 1 other name. The record is from RNAcentral. Lineage: Bacteria; Pseudomonadati; Planctomycetota; Phycisphaerae.